CGCCCCGCAAGGGGAGCGGCAGACGGGUGAGUAACGCGUGGGAACGUACCUUUUGCUACGGAAUAACUCAGGGAAACUUGUGCUAAUACCGUAUGUGCCCUUCGGGGGAAAGAUUUAUCGGCAAAGGAUCGGCCCGCGUUGGAUUAGCUAGUUGGUGAGGUAAAGGCUCACCAAGGCGACGAUCCAUAGCUGGUCUGAGAGGAUGAUCAGCCACACUGGGACUGAGACACGGCCCAGACUCCUACGGGAGGCAGCAGUGGGGAAUAUUGGACAAUGGGCGCAAGCCUGAUCCAGCCAUGCCGCGUGAGUGAUGAAGGCCCUAGGGUUGUAAAGCUCUUUCACCGGUGAAGAUAAUGACGGUAACCGGAGAAGAAGCCCCGGCUAACUUCGUGCCAGCAGCCGCGGUAAUACGAAGGGGGCUAGCGUUGUUCGGAUUUACUGGGCGUAAAGCGCACGUAGGCGGACUUUUAAGUCAGGGGUGAAAUCCCGGGGCUCAACCCCGGAACUGCCUUUGAUACUGGAAGUCUUGAGUAUGGUAGAGGUGAGUGGAAUUCCGAGUGUAGAGGUGAAAUUCGUAGAUAUUCGG
This 586-nucleotide ribosomal RNA is filed under the name Brucella anthropi. RNAcentral describes it as "bacterial SSU rRNA". It matches the Rfam family "Bacterial small subunit ribosomal RNA", at positions 67 to 701 of the family's 1533-position model. Lineage: Bacteria; Pseudomonadati; Pseudomonadota; Alphaproteobacteria; Hyphomicrobiales; Brucellaceae. The record is from RNAcentral.